RNAcentral lists this transfer RNA (72 nucleotides) under Prevotellaceae bacterium. RNAcentral describes it as "tRNA-Met". It matches the Rfam family "tRNA". Rfam says of the family: Transfer RNA (tRNA) molecules are approximately 80 nucleotides in length. Their secondary structure includes four short double-helical elements and three loops (D, anti-codon, and T loops). Lineage: Bacteria; Pseudomonadati; Bacteroidota; Bacteroidia; Bacteroidales; Prevotellaceae. The record is from RNAcentral.
CGCGGGGUGGAGCAGUGGUAGCUCGUCAGGCUCAUAACCUGAAGGUCGCACGUUCGAGUCGUGUCUCCGCAA